RNAcentral lists this ribosomal RNA (463 nucleotides) under uncultured bacterium. RNAcentral describes it as "partial 16S ribosomal RNA". It matches the Rfam family "Bacterial small subunit ribosomal RNA", at positions 339 to 795 of the family's 1533-position model. The record is from RNAcentral.
CUACGGGACGCACCAGUGAGGAAUAUUGCGCAAUGGGCGAAAGCCUGACGCAGCGACGCCGCGUGGAGGAUGAAGGCCUUCGGGUUGUAAACUUCUGUUAAGUGGGAAGAAAUUCUGGUUUCUAAUAAAAGUCAGAGAUGACGGUACCAUUAGAGAAAGCACCGGCUAAUCUCGUGCCAGCAGCCGCGGUAAUACGAGAGGUGCAAGCGUUAUUCGGAAUUACUGGGCGUAAAGGGUGUGUAGGCGGCUGCCAAGUCUAUCGUUAAAUCUUAUGGCCUAACCAUGAGCUCGCGAUAGAAACUGGCUUGCUUGAGGAAGGAAGAGAGAGGUGGAAUUCUCGGAGUAGCGGUAAAAUGCGUGGAUCUCGAGAGGAACACCAAUGGCGAAAGCAGCCUCUUUGGCCUUUCCUGACGCUGAGACACGAAAGCGUGGGGAGCAAACAGGAUUAGAUACCCGGGUAGUC